RNAcentral lists this long non-coding RNA (220 nucleotides) under Sorghum bicolor (sorghum). RNAcentral's name for it is "long non-coding RNA (SBIC_LNC009805)". The record is from RNAcentral. Lineage: Eukaryota; Viridiplantae; Streptophyta; Magnoliopsida; Poales; Poaceae.
AUUUUCAGGGUACUUUUAGUGGAAAGAACACUGCUGUCCCAAGUUCAAAACCAGCAGCAUCAAACACUACUUCAGUGGGUUCCACUUCCAAGAGUAGUGGAAUUCAGUGCUUCAAGUGUGGAGGCCGUGGACAUGUAUCAAGAAAGUGUCCAAAUAAUCGUGUGGUCAUUGUGAAUGAUAGUGGAGAAUUUGAAUCAGCUAGUGAAGAGGAAGCUGAGGA